AAAAUAGAUCUCUAAUAUGCUAGGUUGGAUUGUAGAAAAUUAAAUAAUGUAAGUAGUGAAUUAGUCAUUGUAUUUAAAUACGUUGAAUCAUUUGCCGCUUUCAUAAUUCCUUUUAAAACCAACAAAGUUAUUUUUAAAUGCGGUGAAUUGUUCAUCGUUUUAAAAGCGGUGAACAAUUCACGACCUUUAUUAUUUUACCCUACUCCCGAUCUCUUUCAAUUCUAUCGCUCUCUCUAUCUCACUCUUUCUCAUCCCCCUUUGUCACUCUCUUUAUCUCGAUCUGUCUCACAACCAUCUGUCGUCAUCGCACCUGUUGCUGCCACUGCCGUCGUCAUUGCACCCGCUGCUGCUGCUGCCAUCACCAUUGUAAUAUACCAAAACUCGGUAGGAUAUAUCGGACUUUAGCCAAAUUGACUGAAGUAUGCGAAAGAGAUAAUUGGACAAAGUCAAGUUAAUAUUGCAACAAUAUUGGAAGAGUUAAAAAUGAGUUCUAGAAGAGUUAGAAAGGUUUUAGCAUCGAUUAGCGCGAAAUAGGAUCGAAAAAGAUGCAAAACUGGAAUUCUAGAACUUUGUCACCGAUUUAACACCAGGGGCGUACCGGUACUACAUUGUAAACCGAGAGAAAUAGCUUUCGGGUUUGCCUCUGCGAAAUGUUGUAACCGAUGACAAACCAAUUUAGUACCGGUACCAAGUGUAAUACCCGAGAAGAAUGCUCUCGGGUUUGGUUCUGCGAAAUUGUGUAACCGGUGACAACCCGGCUUGUAUCGGUACCAAGUGCCCCAGAUAGCAGGUUAAGUCUGCUGCAAAUAAAAACAAAUGGAGGGCCUUUUUGCUAUUAUAGCACCUUAUAAAUUACCCCAACACUCCUCCCACCUGUUCACAACAGCAAAUACCUCUAUCCCUCUUAUUUCUCUCUCUCUCUCUAGAGAUCUCUCCAAGGAGCAAGGAAGAGAA
Molecule: long non-coding RNA, 954 nt
Filed under: Ananas comosus (pineapple)
Lineage: Eukaryota; Viridiplantae; Streptophyta; Magnoliopsida; Poales; Bromeliaceae
Description: long non-coding RNA (ACOM_LNC024211)
Source: RNAcentral